GUGAGGAAUAUUGGUCAAUGGGCGCAAGCCUGAACCAGCCAUGCCGCGUGCAGGAAGACGGUCCUAUGGAUUGUAAACUGCUUUUAUUUGGGAAUAAACUCCGGUACGUGUACCGGCCUGAAGGUACCAAAUGAAUAAGCACCGGCUAACUCCGUGCCAGCAGCCGCGGUAAUACGGAGGGUGCAAGCGUUAUCCGGAAUCAUUGGGUUUAAAUGGUCCGCAGGCGGUCUUAUAAGUCAGUGGUGAAAGCCUACAGCUCAACUGUAGAACUGCCAUUGAUACUGUAGGACUUGAAUUCGAUCGAAGUGGGCGGAAUGUGACAUGUAGCGGUGAAAUGCUUAGAUAUGUCACAGAACACCGAUAGCGAAGGCAGCUCACUAGGUCUGGAUUGACGCUCAGGGACGAAAGCGUGGGGAGCAAACAGGAUUAGAUACCCGUGUAGUCC
RNAcentral lists this ribosomal RNA (445 nucleotides) under uncultured bacterium. RNAcentral describes it as "bacterial SSU rRNA". It matches the Rfam family "Bacterial small subunit ribosomal RNA", at positions 354 to 796 of the family's 1533-position model. The record is from RNAcentral.